GACGAACGCUGGCGGCGUGCUUAACACAUGCAAGUCGAACGCUGAAGCCCAGCUUGCUGGGUGGAUGAGUGGCGAACGGGUGAGUAACACGUGAGUAACCUGCCCCCUUCUUUGGGAUAACGCCCGGAAACGGGUGCUAAUACUGGAUAUUCACUGAUCUUCGCAUGGGGGUUGGUGGAAAGGUUUUUUCUGGUGGGGGAUGGGCUCGCGGCCUAUCAGCUUGUUGGUGGGGUGAUGGCCUACCAAGGCUUUGACGGGUAGCCGGCCUGAGAGGGUGACCGGUCACAUUGGGACUGAGAUACGGCCCAGACUCCUACGGGAGGCAGCAGUGGGGAAUAUUGCACAAUGGGCGAAAGCCUGAUGCAGCGACGCCGCGUGAGGGAUGACGGCCUUCGGGUUGUAAACCUCUUUCGCUCAUGGUCAAGCCGCAACUGUGGGUUGUGGUGAGGGUAGUGGGUAAAGAAGCGCCGGCUAACUACGUGCCAGCAGCCGCGGUAAUACGUAGGGCGCGAGCGUUGUCCGGAAUUAUUGGGCGUAAAGGGCUUGUAGGCGGUUGGUCGCGUCUGCCGUGAAAUCCUCUGGCUUAACUGGGGGCGUGCGGUGGGUACGGGCUGACUUGAGUGCGGUAGGGGAGACUGGAACUCCUGGUGUAGCGGUGGAAUGCGCAGAUAUCAGGAAGAACACCGGUGGCGAAGGCGGGUCUCUGGGCCGUUACUGACGCUGAGGAGCGAAAGCGUGGGGAGCGAACAGG
RNAcentral lists this ribosomal RNA (751 nucleotides) under uncultured Actinomyces sp. RNAcentral describes it as "bacterial SSU rRNA". It matches the Rfam family "Bacterial small subunit ribosomal RNA", at positions 28 to 776 of the family's 1533-position model. Lineage: Bacteria; Bacillati; Actinomycetota; Actinomycetes; Actinomycetales; Actinomycetaceae. The record is from RNAcentral.